This 94-nucleotide transfer RNA is filed under the name Fusarium lateritium. RNAcentral's name for it is "tRNA-Ser". It matches the Rfam family "tRNA". From Rfam's summary of the family: Transfer RNA (tRNA) molecules are approximately 80 nucleotides in length. Their secondary structure includes four short double-helical elements and three loops (D, anti-codon, and T loops). The record is from RNAcentral. Lineage: Eukaryota; Fungi; Ascomycota; Sordariomycetes; Hypocreales; Nectriaceae. RNAcentral also lists the same sequence under 2 other names.
GGCAACGUGACGGAGUGGUUAACGUGAUCGCCUCGAAGCAACAAGCCGUAAGCGAUUUCCUUCGGGAGCGCAGGUUCGAAUCCUGCCGUUGUCG